AUGCAAGUCGAACGAUGAAGCCCAGCUUGCUGGGCGGAUUAGUGGCGAACGGGUGAGUAAUACGUGAGUAACCUGCCUUUAACUCUGGGAUAAGCCUUGGAAACGGGGUCUAAUACCGGAUACGACCAACCCUCGCAUGGGGUGUUGGUGGAAAGGGAUUUUGUACUGGUUUUAGAUGGGCUCACGGCCUAUCAGCUUGUUGGUGAGGUAACGGCUCACCAAGGCGACGACGGGUAGCCGGCCUGAGAGGGUGACCGGCCACACUGGGACUGAGACACGGCCCAGACUCCUACGGGAGGCAGCAGUGGGGAAUAUUGCACAAUGGGCGCAAGCCUGAUGCAGCGACGCCGCGUGAGGGAUGACGGCCUUCGGGUUGUAAACCUCUUUCAGCAGGGGAGAAGCGAAAGUGACGGUA
RNAcentral lists this ribosomal RNA (415 nucleotides) under uncultured bacterium. RNAcentral's name for it is "bacterial SSU rRNA". It matches the Rfam family "Bacterial small subunit ribosomal RNA", at positions 55 to 477 of the family's 1533-position model. The record is from RNAcentral.